Molecule: long non-coding RNA, 382 nt
Organism: Eubalaena glacialis (North Atlantic right whale)
Lineage: Eukaryota; Metazoa; Chordata; Mammalia; Artiodactyla; Balaenidae
Exons: 4
Source: RefSeq, a predicted model, not a curated record
CAUCACGCGCGGCCCCGUGAAAAGGCGGGGCCAGCCGCGCCGGGGGUCAGAAUGCUGUUGGGAACUGGUGGGCGAGGCUUCCGCAGGUAUCUUGAUCCUGUGUGACUUGCCUCCCCCUAUACCAAGCUCACCUACCUUUUGAAACGUAAUUGAUUCCAUUCCUGCUGGACAGCCUGGGAUCUGGCUCGCCCAGGGUGCUGCACUAAGCAGGAGCCCAGAGCUGUUGAUGUGCGGAGUGAGCUGGGUGGAGCUGCCCUCGUCUUUGUGAUUAUAACUGCACAAGGAGAACUUCACUGGGACUCAACCCCUCAUAAAAUGACAAGAAUAUGGAAUUAAACAGAAAGGAGUAGCACAGUCAACUUAAUAAGAAAUGGAAAACCUG